UAAGGAAUAUUGCGCAAUGGGCGAAAGCCUGAUCCAGCCAUGCCGCGUGAGUGACGAAGGCCUUAGGGUUGUAAAACUCUUUCGUCGGGGACGAUAAUGACGGUACCCGAAGAAGAAGCUCCGGCUAACUUCGUGCCAGCAGCCGCGGUAAUACGAAGGGAGCUAGCGUUGUUCGGAAUCACUGGGCGUAAAGCGCACGUAGGCGGAUAGUUAAGUCAGGGGUGAAAUCCUGGGGCUCAACCCCAGAACUGCCUUUGAUACUGGCUGUCUCGAGGUCGAGAGAGGUUGGUGGAAUUCCUAGUGUAGAGGUGAAAUUCGUAGAUAUUAGGAAGAACACCAGUGGCGAAGGCGGCCAACUGGCUCGAUACUGACGCUGAGGUGCGAAAGCGUGGGGAGCAAACAGGAUUAGAUACCCCAGUAGUCCCUGAGCGGGCUGGCAAGGCGCAU
Molecule: ribosomal RNA, 447 nt
Filed under: uncultured bacterium
Lineage: Bacteria
Description: bacterial SSU rRNA
Rfam family: Bacterial small subunit ribosomal RNA
Source: RNAcentral